UUUGAAAUGGAAGGUCAAAGAUCACAGUU
Molecule: non-coding RNA, 29 nt
Filed under: Rattus norvegicus (Norway rat)
Lineage: Eukaryota; Metazoa; Chordata; Mammalia; Rodentia; Muridae
Source: RNAcentral